CCCUUUGGGGUGUAAACCGCUUUUUUGGGGGAUGAUACGCUCCUACGAUUAGGGUAACCUAGUACGGGGGACUAAGACAGUACCCCAAGAAUAAGCAUCGGCUAACUACGUGC
RNAcentral lists this ribosomal RNA (113 nucleotides) under uncultured bacterium. RNAcentral describes it as "partial 16S ribosomal RNA". The record is from RNAcentral.